AGAGUUUGAUCCUGGCUCAGAACGAACGCUGGCGGCAGGCUUAACACAUGCAAGUCGAACGCCCCGCAAGGGAGUGGCAGACGGGUGAGUAACGCGUGGGAAUCUACCCAGAACUUCGGAACAACUGAGGGAAACUUCAGCUAAUACCGGAUACGCCCUACGGGGGAAAGAUUUAUCGGUUUUGGAUGAGCCCGCGUUGGAUUAGCUAGUUGGUGAGGUAAUGGCUCACCAAGGCGACGAUCCAUAGCUGGUCUGAGAGGAUGGCCCCCCACACUGGUACUGAGACACGGACCAGACUCCUACGGGAGGCAGCAGUAAGGAAUAUUGGUCAAUGGAGGGAACUCUGAACCAGCCAUGCCGCGUGCAGGAAGACAGCCCUCUGGGUCGUAAACUGCUUUUAUUCGGGAAUAAACCUUUCUACGUGUAGAGAGCUGAAUGUACCGAAGAAUAAGGAUCGGCUAACUCCGUGCCAGCAGCCGCGGUAAUACGGAGGAUCCAAGCGUUAUCCGGAUUUAUUGGGUUUAAAGGGUGCGUAGGCGGCUUAUUAAGUCAGGGGUGAAAGACGGUGGCUCAACCAUCGCAGUGCCCUUGAUACUGAUGAGCUUGAAUGAACUAGAGGUAGGCGGAAUGUGACAAGUAGCGGUGAAAUGCAUAGAUAUGUCGCAGAACACCGAUUGCGAAGGCAGCUUACUAUGGUUUUAUUGACGCUGAGGCACGAAAGCGAGGGGAUCAAACAGGAUUAGAUACCCUGGUAGUCCACGCCCUAAACGAUGAAUACUCGCUGUUAGCGAUAUACAGUUAGCGGCUAAGCGAAAGCGUUAAGUAUUCCACCUGGGGAGUACGCCCGCAAGGGUGAAACUCAAAGGAAUUGACGGGGGCCCGCACAAGCGGAGGAGCAUGUGGUUUAAUUCGAUGAUACGCGAGGAACCUUACCCGGGCUUGAAAGUUACUGAAUAACUCAGAGAUGAGUUAGUCCGCAAGGACAGGAAACUAGGUGCUGCAUGGCUGUCGUCAGCUCGUGCCGUGAGGUGUUGGGUUAAGUCCCGCAACGAGCGCAACCCCUAUGUUUAGUUGCCAGCACGUAACGGUGGGGGCUCUAAACAGACUGCCUGUGCAAACAGAGAGGAAGGAGGGGACGACGUCAAGUCAUCAUGGCCCUUACGUCCGGGGCUACACACGUGCUACAAUGGAUGGUACAGAGGGCAGCUAGCUGGUAACAGCAUGCGAAUCUCCAAAAGCCAUUCACAGUUCGGAUAGAGGUCUGCAACUCGACCUCUUGAAGUUGGAUUCGCUAGUAAUCGCGUAUCAGCAAUGACGCGGUGAAUACGUUCCCGGGCCUUGUACACACCGCCCGUCAAGCCAUGGAAGUUGGGGGUACCUAAAGUAUGUAACCGUAAGGAGCGUCCUAGGGUAAAACCGAUAACUGGGGCUAAGUCGUAACAAGGUA
This 1447-nucleotide ribosomal RNA is filed under the name uncultured Bacteroidota bacterium. RNAcentral's name for it is "bacterial SSU rRNA". It matches the Rfam family "Bacterial small subunit ribosomal RNA". The record is from RNAcentral. Lineage: Bacteria; Pseudomonadati; Bacteroidota.